AACAGGUGCGGCUGUACCUCGGAAAUCAGCUGUGUUUUGUGAGGGUGAGGUGGGCCUGGGCACGGUUGUUAGGGCCUGCACGGGCCCACCUCAGGCUGGGGCCCUCUUACCUUUCCUGGUCGGGCUGCAGGUGGCCUCUCUCUAGGGCUGUCUCCUGGACUUUCCUCCAAGUUUCUAAGGUUAUUCUGGGACCUGAUCCAGUGUGAGGACUGCUGAGCUUCAAGGGAGACUCUUGCUACUGCUAGUCCUGCAGAAAAUCUUGGAUGCAAUUCUUCCCAAUCAACAAGUCACCUAUUUCUGCUGGGAACUGUUAUUUCUGACACCUUCAGAAACUGAAUCUUGGAGACAGGUGGUACUUUGUUACAGAGAAGUAGGAUUGACUCACAGCCUCACUGAUUGACCACCGUCUCCUAUGUUCUAUACUGGUAUUAGCCGAACUGUCUAUUCCAUAUUCUCUGUUCCCUUGGUAAGGGGGUGGUAGAAUACCUGAAAAUAGGAGUUUAAAACAAACAAAUCCCUCAAGGAUUCUAACAGGAUUAAUCUCUGUAGAUGUCUUUGUGAAGAUUUCACAAAGUACGGAAAUACUACAGUCACAAUGAUGGAAAGCUUUUGAAUUCUGCUACUUAGAAUAAAACUUUGGAAUACCGCUUUUAUAUAAGAGUC
RNAcentral lists this long non-coding RNA (663 nucleotides) under Anser brachyrhynchus (Pink-footed goose). Its description in RNAcentral is "lncRNA (ENSABRG00000011584.1)". Lineage: Eukaryota; Metazoa; Chordata; Aves; Anseriformes; Anatidae. The record is from RNAcentral.